This 2376-nucleotide long non-coding RNA is filed under the name Homo sapiens (human). RNAcentral describes it as "HSALNT0115542". The record is from RNAcentral. Lineage: Eukaryota; Metazoa; Chordata; Mammalia; Primates; Hominidae.
GAUACCUGAGAAAGAGCAGCCGGCCUCAGUCACUUCCUCCGGUGGAUGCCAGAGGCCAAUUUGGAUAAUAGCAGAGCCACCUUGUUCCUUUCCUUUGUUCCAAAAUGUGGUGCCUGGGUAGGAAAAAGCCCCACACCAUUCAUGAUGUUAACAAUAGCAGCAUUAACAGUCAUUGGACUCCCACCGAGUGUGUUAUUCUUUAAAUUAGAACCCAUGAAUAUAAUGAGAUGGAUUUUCACAGGAACAAGGGCAGGCUGAAACAAAGAGGUCAAGGCUCAAUUGGAAUAAUCUGGAGAAGCUUUUCUACAAUGUCUACACUCCAGGGCCCACACCUGCCAAUGAAAUCUGUACCUUAAACCUGAAGAGGACCAGGUAUCAAUAUUCUUUGAAAAGCAGCCCAGAUGAUGCAGCUAGGUAGGUGUGGGAUUAACAGCACAGCCGGGAAGUUUCAAAUUGGAAGCACUUCAGAAACUGUCAUAUGCGAGAAAGAUGGUAUCUCAUUCAGACCGACCACCAUUUCCCAAAGAUUUCUCCCAGAUCACUACUUCCUCAAGAUGCCCAGAGAACAUAAUUCUGUGACCAAAUGCGUAUGAGAAAUGCUGCCAACUGCUGACUCCUAUCUUUGAGACUUAUCUACGUAGUGCUUUUAGUGCUUUUUUGUUAUGACCUUGGCUCACUGCAGCUUCACCCUCCUGGGCUCAAGCGAUCCUUCCACCUCAGCCCUUCAAGUAUCUGGGACUACAGACACCUGCCACCAUGUCUAGCUAAUUUUUGUAUUGUUUGUAGAGAUGGAGUUUCACCAUGUUGCCCAGGCUGGUCCUGGUCUGAAACUCCUGAACUCGAGUGAUUCUCCAGCCUCAGCCUCCCAAAGUGCUGAGAUGACAGGUGUGAGCCACUGUGUCUGGUCUGUAGUGCAUCUUAAUGUCUCUGAGAAAACCUGUGACCAAGAAAACUAUUACCUCGGCUUAAUCCAGUAAUUUUCCAGGAAAGCUGCUUUUUUAUUUCAUAGCACCUAACACCCUGUGGACCUCCAGAAAUGGUGAUUCACGAUGAGGAGGAAGAGUACUGAGCCCUGUCAAGGGCAGCAUUGGGUGAGGAGCCUCUCAAUUACAUGUUAGGAAGUGAAGACACCCAGACCUCGGAUUCCAAUUUUGAUGCUUCAGUUUUAAAAUGGUGGGGGGUGAGGGGCUGAUGGAGAAGAGUCUUUAUGGACACAAAUGGACCAGGGUGCUUUGACCUUUUGUUCUGUGGUCUCCUCACUUAUUAGGUCACAUAACCUUCAGUGGGCUACAUAAACCUCUUUUCUCAUCUUUAGCAGAACAAAAAUCUGUGGUCUGGGCUUAGGGGCCAGUUGGACUGGGCUUUGGUCAUUGAUUCGCGCUGGUCUUUGAAAUGUGAGUGGAAGGGACAGACAGGUGUUGAGUCCAAGCAGAAGCCUUCGAUGUUCUUGUGUGGCUUGGCUCUGCCUCUGUGCUUCUCCCUCCUCCUUGAGAACAAUAUGCCCCACAUGGGAGCUGCUCCUUUAGCCAGGCCUCCAGGACCAGAGGACAAAUGGGGCUGAGCACAACCAAGCCCAGCUGAGCCAGGUCAGGGUUCAAUGUAGCCUGAACAUGAAAUAAAUGUUUAUAAUUUUAAACCAGGAAAAUUUUGGUAUAGUUUAUUAUAACAAACUGCAAUCUAUAAACCUGAUUUGGGUCUGAUUUAAAGAAACCAAACAACCUCUAAAAAUUAGGAGGUAAACAGGAAAACUUGUACACUGACGUUAAGAAAUUGAUGUCAUUUUUUUUUACAAGAUGUUAUAGGACUGUUUCACUUGUGUUUAGGUAAAGAAUCCUUAUCUUCAGUGAUCCACGCUGAAAUACUUAUGCAUGAAACGGUAUAAUGGAAGGACAGGAAAGUGGGCAGAGUCAUAAAUGAAGUAAGAAUGUCCAGGUGUUGAUAAUUAUUGAAGCUGGGUAACGGAUAAUUGGGGGUUUACCAUAUUAUUCAACUUUUGUUUAUGUUCAAAAUUUUCUCUGAUUAAAAAGCUAGAAAAUCAACAUUCACACAAACUCUUCUCCAUAGGUUGAAAAUAGGUGGAGUAUCUUGUUAGGAUUAUUAUAAUCUUUUAAUUUUAUAGCACUGCCAAUGAGCCAUCCCUGCCAUAAAAGAGUCAGCCAGAGAUAACUGGUGACUUCCACCACGUAAUUAUUAUCACCGUUUAUUUCAGUGGAAACUGCUGCCUGUUUGGAUUUGGAGAACACUAAGAAAGAGAAAUGAAGAUCUGGAGAAUUCAAAGGAUAAUUAUCCCUUUUGAAUAUUGACACACUUACAUGUUUUUCCAGACGUAGAUUUUGUGUAGGCGAAAGCUAUUUGAUUAUAAAAGAUCCGGUUUCU